This 331-nucleotide ribosomal RNA is filed under the name uncultured eukaryote. RNAcentral's name for it is "partial 18S ribosomal RNA". It matches the Rfam family "Eukaryotic small subunit ribosomal RNA", at positions 1470 to 1796 of the family's 1831-position model. The record is from RNAcentral.
CCCUUAGAUGUUCUGGGCCGCACGCGCGCUACACUGUUCGACGCAGCGAGUCUUAACCUUGACCGAAAGGUUUGGGUAAUCUUCAGCAAAGUCGAACGUGAUGGGGAUCGAUCAUUGCAAUUAUUGAUCGUGAACGAGGAAUUCCUAGUAAGUGCAAGUCAUCAGCUUGCGCUGAUUACGUCCCUGCCCUUUGUACACACCGCCCGUCGCUACUACCGAUUGAAUGGUUUAGUGAGAUCUCUGGAUUGACGCUGGCUAGGGGGCGACCCUUGGCCAGGCUGUCGAGAAACUGCUCAAACUUGAUCAUUUAGAGGAAGUAAAAGCCGUAACA